GACGAACGCUGGCGGCGUGCCUAAUACAUGCAAGUCGAGCGAAGUUUUUCUGGUGCUUGCACCGGAAAAACUUAGCGGCGAACGGGUGAGUAACACGUAAAGAACCUGCCUCAUAGACUGGGACAACUAUUGGAAACGAUAGCUAAUACCGGAUAACAGCAUUAACUGCAUGGUUGAUGUUUAAAAGUUGGUUUUGCUAACACUAUGAGAUGGCUUUGCGGUGCAUUAGCUAGUUGGUGGGGUAAAGGCCUACCAAGGCGACGAUGCAUAGCCGACCUGAGAGGGUGAUCGGCCACACUGGGACUGAGACACGGCCCAGACUCCUACGGGAGGCAGCAGUAGGGAAUCUUCCGCAAUGGGCGAAAGCCUGACGGAGCAACGCUGCGUGAGUGAAGAAGGAUUUCGGUUCGUAAAGCUCUGUUGUUAGGGAAGAAUGAUUGUGUAGUAACUAUACACAGUAGAGACGGUACCUAACCAGAAAGCCACGGCUAACUACGUG
RNAcentral lists this ribosomal RNA (499 nucleotides) under uncultured bacterium. Its description in RNAcentral is "partial 16S ribosomal RNA". It matches the Rfam family "Bacterial small subunit ribosomal RNA", at positions 28 to 507 of the family's 1533-position model. The record is from RNAcentral.